GAUGUUGUAGAAUAGUCGUUUGUGGAUUUGGUUUCCGGACUGUCGAUCCGGAGGUUGCGGGUUCGAGUCCCGUCACCCUCG
Molecule: transfer RNA, 81 nt
Filed under: Phycisphaeraceae bacterium
Lineage: Bacteria; Pseudomonadati; Planctomycetota; Phycisphaerae; Phycisphaerales; Phycisphaeraceae
Description: tRNA-Asp
Rfam family: tRNA
About the family: Transfer RNA (tRNA) molecules are approximately 80 nucleotides in length. Their secondary structure includes four short double-helical elements and three loops (D, anti-codon, and T loops).
Source: RNAcentral